GAUGAAGAACGCAGCGAAACGCGAUAGUUAAUGUGAAUUGCAGAAUUCAGUGAAUCAUCGAGUCUUUGAACGCACAUUGCGCCUCCUGGUAUUCCGGGAGGCACGUCUGUUCGAGCGUCAGUGAAAACCAUUCCGGACCGGCGGUUUUAGGACCGCCCGGCCUCGGGCCUUUGGCGCGGGGAGGCAGAACCCUUCGCGGUUCCCUCCCCCGCUCAAACGCGGAGAUAGCUAGCGGGCAACUUUGGCCUCCAUAAUGCGACGACUCGUAAGAACUUCUCACCCGUCGUACCGCGCCGGAGGAACCACACGGUUCGCCCUGCCUUGAACCCAAACCGGGACACCCUUCGGUGACCGGCCACCUGACUCUUGACCUCGGAUCAGAUGAGGAUACCCGCUGAACUUAAGCAUAUCAAUAAGCGGAGGA
This 424-nucleotide unclassified non-coding RNA is filed under the name soil metagenome. Its description in RNAcentral is "partial contains 5.8S ribosomal RNA, internal transcribed spacer 2, and large subunit ribosomal RNA". The stretch from base 1 to 120 matches the Rfam family "5.8S ribosomal RNA", at positions 35 to 154 of the family's 154-position model. The record is from RNAcentral.